This is a long non-coding RNA of Vicia villosa (hairy vetch), 1255 nucleotides long. RefSeq lists it as uncharacterized. The transcript is spliced from 3 exons. NCBI's taxonomy places the organism in Eukaryota, Viridiplantae, Streptophyta, Magnoliopsida, Fabales, Fabaceae. The record is from RefSeq and is a predicted model, not a curated record.
UUAUGACUAAACUCAAAAUUAAUACAGGUUUGAAUUAAAAGGGGAAUUAGGGAUUUACGUGAGUUUCCAUGGAGAUGUUCAAAGCUCCUUCUCCUUCGAUGAAACAGCGCGGCGGCGACGGAGACGGCUCUUUCCAUCUCCGGUCAAACUUCUCCGCCACCGUCCGGCCAUGGCACCAGCGUCUCAUCCUCGAUCUCCCUUCUCUCAUGUGGAUUUGUCCCGAUCCGAUACCUCUCAUCUUCUCCUACGAACCAAACACAACACCGCCGUUUCAGCCUCACCAUCGAUUUCGUCUAGCUAUCGACAUUGUAUUCAGAAAUCUCAUCAUCUUCGUCUGCGUUGAUGCAAUUCGCUUGCGGUUUCAGAUGCGAUGUUCUUGGAGUUGUCGCUGAUUUGAAACCAAGACUCAGUGAUGAUGAUUUUAACUUGUUGCAAUGCGAAGGUCCAGGGGAGAUUGAUGAGAAGAUGGCUACGAUGAUGGAUCAGAGAAGAAGAUCGAGGAGCGAAAGAUGAAGGUUCUGAGAAUUGGUGAAUGAAUUGCAGGGAGAAAGAUGUGGUUGAAGGUUGGAUGAAGUCGGAAGAAGAUUGAAUGAAGAUUGAAUACGGUUAUGAGGUUGAAGAUGAUGAUUGUUGAAGAAUUGAGAUCCGAUUGAAGAUUCUGGAGAAGGUUGAAGAGUGCGAUUGGAGAACGAGAACAAAAGUUUGUUACGCUUCUAUUACGCUCUCUUCUUCAAUUCUGUUACCGUCUUUUUUUCUUCUUUCUUUCUGGUUUUCUGUUAUUGAUUUUCUGGUGAAUGAACAUGAUGAAUCGUGAAAUUCCAGAAGGUUCUGGCGAUUGAAUGAUUUGAUGACUGAAGAUUUCUGUUACAGCAAGUUUUGGUUUUGAUUAUGCAGGUGAAGUUACGAUCCGAGAACCGGUUUUUCUUUCAACUUGAAGCAACUUGACUUAUAAUUUGAAGUGGAGGAUCGGUUUAUUUGUGGUUCAGCUGCGGCAUGUCAUGUCAUGGUGUUACGUUACGGGAACCGGUUUUAUCCUUCCAACUUGCAGCAGCAACAGACUUGAUAAAGGCCUAUUAGCAUGGGCAUGAAAUUUGAAGAUGAAGUUUAGGCAUAGGCUUAGGAUAUGAUUUUUUGUGUAAUUUUGUGAUGAGUUUGAAUUUGAAUGGUGUAGUGGACAUGGUUUCUUGAGAAUUUUCCGGAUCUUGUAAUGGAUAUGUAAAUAUUUGGACAUUGAAUGGACAUUUGAACUUUGAUA